Molecule: long non-coding RNA, 1638 nt
Filed under: Medicago truncatula (barrel medic)
Lineage: Eukaryota; Viridiplantae; Streptophyta; Magnoliopsida; Fabales; Fabaceae
Description: long non-coding RNA (MTRU_LNC003945)
Source: RNAcentral
GCAUUUUCACGUACAACAGAGUUUUGGGAGAAAGCAAGAGAAAACCAAGAGAAGAGCCAAGUAGGAAGAUUCUGAUUUUUGGAGAGUUUUGUUCAUCAAAUCAAGGUAAGGGUGAGACUAUCUCUCAAUGAUAAUGGUUAUAUAAUUUCUGAUUUUGGUUUAGCAAGGUUCUAGUUGAAAUUAGGAAAUUAGAGGUUAGGUUUUGGAGUAUGAUUUUUGAAUUAAAAAGUGUAGAAUCCAUGACAUUAGUGUUAGAAUAUGUUCAGGUCGUAGACAGAAAUUUAUUACACUUCUAUAAUUUGUUUUGCGGAUUGAAAUUGAGAAAAUUGGGAUUUUUGGGAAAAACCUGCACUCUGCCCGUACAGAUCUUCAUCGCUCGCCCCGCGAGUAGCUUGUCUCGCCUCGCGAGCAAGACCACUCGCCAUAGCGAGUAAGUGAGUGAGAGAUCAUGAUUUUCAAAUUGUUGUUAUAAGACGUAAGUUGGAUAGUUUUGAGUGCCUGGAUGUUUUUAGAGAGGACUGAGACAAUUUUUAGAUUAAAGAUGAUUAGAGAGCUUAAGAAUGAAGAUUUAGUGAGAAAAAUGUCAAAACUCCCGAGAGCAUCAUUUUCUUGCUCGCCACGUACUCGCCAUAGCGAGUAACCCAUUUCUUGAGUUCGCCAUAGCGAGCAGAUGUACUCGCGAGGCGAGUUGCCCUGUACCUGAAGCCGUUUUUAUGUAUUUGAAUAUUGUUGGUUGGAUUUUGUGUAGGACAAAUAGUUAUGAUUAAUUGUGCUAUUUUACCGGAGCUGUUGAAUUAAGUAUGAUGAAUUGUUGAUUGUUGUUAUGUAUAUUUAUAUUUAAAUAAAUUAUACAAGUUGUUGAAUUUCAUUUCAAAGGUUAAUGUAUCAUUGGUUGACUAUGUUGUGGUGUAAGUCAUAUUCAUAUAUAUAUAUAUAUAUGCAUUGUUGAGUACCAGUUGUCGUCGUUCAUGUUGUCGUUGUGUUGUAGUUGAGUUGUAUGUUGAUAUACACAAGUGGAGUUCAUUGCAUAAUCAUAAACUAUUGAGGGCUCAUGCCCUGGAACGCCUUGUCGUUCAAUUGUUGAGGGCUUAUGCCCUGUGAAUGCUAGUUCAUUCAAACCGUUGAGGGCUCAUGCCCUGUGAAUGCUUUAACCAUUCAAACUGUUGAGGGCUCAUGCCUUGAAAUUCCUUGUCAUUCAAACGUGUUAAAUGGUACCACAUGCAUGUGCAUUGUCGCAUUUUAUUUUUUAGUCAUAGUAGUGUUGUCAUGUCAUUGCAUAAGUCGUUGUUGGUUGAAAUUGCCGGAUGUUGAUAAUGUUGUUGAUCAUGAAAUAUAUAAAUAUAUUGAUGUAUUGUUGUUAUUUAGGGUGUUAGAUUCAAUCGAUGAAUUAUAUAUCUAUUAUUGUUGUUUGUGAAUCUCACCCCUUCUGCUUGAAAAUGUUGUCCUUCGUAUGUGUAACUUGCAGGUGAUGAAGAGUAGUAGAAGUGGUGGCUCAAGUGUCUUAGGGCUCUGAUACGUAACGGGAUGGGAUAUUGUUGUUUUAUUUCCAUUCCUUAUGUAUCAAUUUUGGAACAUGUUGUUGGAGCCUUUAUUGUUGUUGAACAAAUUGUUGAUGAUUAUUUAUGUUGAGGCCUUUGU